GCACCUGUAGCUCAGCGGCUAGAGUGCCAGCCAUUUACACUGGAGCCGGGGGUUCAAAUCCUGCCCGGGGCC
RNAcentral lists this transfer RNA (72 nucleotides) under Otolemur garnettii (small-eared galago). It matches the Rfam family "tRNA". From Rfam's summary of the family: Transfer RNA (tRNA) molecules are approximately 80 nucleotides in length. Their secondary structure includes four short double-helical elements and three loops (D, anti-codon, and T loops). Further hydrogen bonds mediate the characteristic L-shaped molecular structure. tRNAs have two regions of fundamental functional importance: the anti-codon, which is responsible for specific mRNA codon recognition, and the 3' end, to which the tRNAs corresponding amino acid is attached (by aminoacyl-tRNA synthetases). tRNAs cope with the degeneracy of the genetic code in two manners: having more than one tRNA (with a specific anti-codon) for a particular amino acid; and 'wobble' base-pairing, i.e. permitting non-standard base-pairing at the 3rd anti-codon position. Lineage: Eukaryota; Metazoa; Chordata; Mammalia; Primates; Galagidae. The record is from Rfam by way of RNAcentral.